Populus euphratica (Euphrates poplar) is the source of this 1346-nucleotide long non-coding RNA. RefSeq lists it as uncharacterized. The transcript is spliced from 2 exons. NCBI's taxonomy places the organism in Eukaryota, Viridiplantae, Streptophyta, Magnoliopsida, Malpighiales, Salicaceae. The record is from RefSeq and is a predicted model, not a curated record.
UACAUAUGGUGGAUGCCUUGGUUUUGAGGAGUCAUUGCUUGAACUUUUUGACCAGGAAAAGCAUGUUGAAGAUUUUUCUUUCACGAAGAUGUUUCAGUUUAAGGACUAGAUUUUUGACCCUUGAUGAAGUACAAGGGAUUGGACAUGCAUGGAGAGAUUCUACAACCUUCACGGGGAAGAGUGGAGCAGAACUUUUGCAGGAACUAAAAGUUGCUCACCGCAUGCCUCUCUCAACUUCUCCUAUUAUCCUUUGUAUCCUCUUGAAGUGCUGCCAGCGUUUCAUCAGCUCUCUGUAUAUAGGCUAUAUCGUCCUGUACUCUUUCUUUUGAGCAGAUAUGACUGCCCACUUUGCACAUAGAAGAAACCGAUCGCCAAUCUCCCCUCCUUAUUGAUAAUACACUGUUGCAUGUUGCUGCGCUUCAAGAUGCCCUAGUUUUUCACUCUUUUAUGUAGCUCAUUCCAGUUCUUGUCUGAGGACGUCAUGGUUCUGCAGUUCCAUGUAUAUUUUCUUGGUAUAUGUAAACAAGAGACGGGGAUAAAGGAAAUCUCCAAUGACAUAAAAAUCCAAAAGAAACUUGUGAUUAGUAGAUGGUGAACUUGCUCAUCCAUCUGCUAACGUAGCCAUUCCUUGACAUCUUUCCCUCAGCUAACUGUUCCCAUUGGACUUCUCGUUUGAGCCAUUAUCUCUUUAACUAUAGAUUUUAUUUAACUGGAGAUUCCCCUCCUAACACUGCUAUGACUUCCUGAUCCACAAACCACUGUGCUCUCUGCUGGAAUCACUUUGCUAUGGGCAGGUUAUUACUUACAGGAAGAGUGGGAGGGGAAGGGAGGGUGAGUGAAGUCAGGAGAAAGAAGAUGAGAGAGUGCACCAAUAGCAAUUGAUUCCGGUGAUGAUGCUACAAAUUUCUUGAUCAAACGGCUAGUAGCUGAAGUCGCUCCUUUGGUGAUGGUGGGGACUACUGUAGAGAAGAAGCGCUGGACUUCUUUGCUAGUUGCUGCUAAACAUUUGGUUGAUAAAUCCAGUGGUAGUGGCAGCGGCGGCUGUGAAAAAUAAGGUAGUGGUUGUUGACGGUGGCAGAUGUGUUGUUGGUUCCCUGGUACGAGCGAGGUUGUUUAUCUUUUGGUGACACCACACUAGCGUGUCCAUGGAUGGAACUGGAACUUACAAAAACAGGGAGGUACGGAGGGUUGGAGGAACUUGCACGUUGAAAGUUUUUUGUUUUUCUAUUUGUACUCACAACCGUGAAGGCCAGAGUUAUUGUGGGCUUUUUGAAAAGAUUGUAAUGGGUUGGAUUUUACUAAAAGGCUCAAAUCACGAUUAGAAAAAUAAGGCCCAACAAAAUUGU